UAAAAGUUUUUUAGCUUUAUAUUUUUAUAAAAUUUUAUUUUAGAUGUAAAUUUUAGUGUUAAUAAUUUAAAAUUUAAAUAGUUAUAAGAUAUUUGUAAUUUACAGUAAAUAGUUUUAAUUUAUUUAAGAGAUUAAGAAUUAGUAAUUGUUUUUAGUAUAAACUAAAUUUGUGCCAGCAGUUGCGGUUAUACAAAUUAUGCAAUAAAAGUUUAUUUGGUAAAAGUUGAUUAAGAUAGCUGAGUUUGUAUUUAAAUUUAUUAAGUGAAAUUUUAAAUUUUAAUAAAUUUUUAUAAUUUAAUUAUUCUAGGAAAUUUUAUAUAAAACUAGGAUUAGAUACCCUAUUAUAAAAAAGUAAUUAGUUUAUGCCAAAUUAGUAUCAGGUGUUCUUGAAAAUUAAAAAUUUUGGCGGUACUUUAGUCUAUUUAGAGGAAUCUGCCCUGUAAUUGAUAUUCCACGAGUUAAUUUACUUAUUUUUUUAGUUUGUAUAUCGCCGUAGUUGAAUAUUUUAAAUGGAUUCUAAUAUUCAAAAAUUUUAUUAAAAAUAAAUCAGGUCAAGAUAUAGUUUAUAAAUAAGAAGAGGUGGGUUACAUUAUUUUUAUAUGUGAAAAUUCUAUUGAAAAUAGAGUAGAAAAUGGAUUUAAAAGUAAUUUUUUAUUUAUUUAAAAAAUGAUUUAAGCUCUAAAGUAUGUACAUAUUGCCCGUCGCUUCCUCUUUAAAGGGGAAUAAGUCGUAACAUAGUAGGGGUACUGGAAAGUGUUUCUAGAAAAUC
RNAcentral lists this non-coding RNA (769 nucleotides) under Hylastes attenuatus. The record is from RNAcentral. Lineage: Eukaryota; Metazoa; Arthropoda; Insecta; Coleoptera; Curculionidae.